GAUGAACGCUGGCGGCGUGCCUAAUACAUGCAAGUCGAGCGAACAGACGAGGAGCUUGCUCCUCUGACGUUAGCGGCGGACGGGUGAGUAACACGUGGAUAACCUACCUAUAAGACUGGGAUAACUUCGGGAAACCGGAGCUAAUACCGGAUAAUAUAUUGAACCGCAUGGUUCAAUAGUGAAAGACGGUUUUGCUGUCACUUAUAGAUGGAUCCGCGCCGCAUUAGCUAGUUGGUAAGGUAACGGCUUACCAAGGCAACGAUGCGUAGCCGACCUGAGAGGGGGAUCGGCCACACUGGAACUGAGACACGGACCAUACUCCUACGGGAGGCAGCAGUAGGGAAUCUUCCGCAAUGGGCGAAAGCCUGACGGAGCAACGCCGCGUGAGUGAUGAAGGUCUUCGGAGCGUAAAACUCUGUUAUUAGGGAAGAACAAAUGUGUAAGUAACUAUGCACGUCUUGACGGUACCUAAUCAGAAAGCCACGGCUAACUACGUG
Molecule: ribosomal RNA, 497 nt
Filed under: uncultured bacterium
Lineage: Bacteria
Description: partial 16S ribosomal RNA
Rfam family: Bacterial small subunit ribosomal RNA
Source: RNAcentral